UAGUUUAUACGUUAAAGAAAAAAUUGAAGCCAGUCAUUCACUCAAUCUAGAAAAAAAGAAGAAGAAAAAUGAAAAAUGUGUAGAGGUGCCACAACGAAAUCAUUUUCCAUUACAACAGUAUCUAGGGGCGUAUUGCUAAUCGCAAUCAAAGCAUAUGUCCUUGGCCGUCUGUUCCUACCUCUCUUCGUCCGUCAGUGUGCAUCGAACAAUUGGUAUUGCCGACCCAACUGGAGGAGUUUUCAAUAACGGUUCCGUUCUCUCUCCGACGUAUCGUCUUCUUUAAAUUCCUUUACUAUUUUUGUGAUCUUCGAAUAUUUUAGCUUCCAUCGUGAUAAGUCUAAUUUCAAGGUUCGUGAAGUCUUUGUUCCUGUCUCAACCGACUGACUAGUUCUCGUGCCUUCCAUCUUGUUUGCAAGAUUUUCAAUUCAAACACCUCAUCGUGUAAACUUUGUCAUACUCGUGUUUUGUUCAUUAAUCACCGCUGCUAACGAUCCUCUGAUCUUCUCCAACGCGACUUCUGUAUUACCUUCCAUCAAGAAAAUCGGAAUUAAUCAAGUUAUGAAUAUAGGAGCCAAAUUAAGGCUUGGGAAACUCCGGACAAUGAUCAAAUGUUUAAAGUCGUCUCCGACUUGUCCUGCAAUAACAGUGGAAUGAGACAAUUCAAACCCAAAAGGACUCAAGGAAAAAAAUUACCAUAUGGGUGAUGAUACCCUCCGCCCAUUAAGGGUAGUCCAAAGAUAACAACAGUUGACUCGGUCCAACACAGUGCGUAGUCUAGAAAAGACCCAACUCAAUACUAGUCUCGAUCUGGACCCAAGCCCGACCGCCACAUUGGUCCAGGAACACCAAGGCCCGACUCAGGAACAAGGCGACGGUGUUAUCAGUACUGUCUACCUCGAGGUAGAUAACACGUUACCUAAUUUAGAAAACCUACAUUAGAGAGUGAGAGAAAAACCCUAACUUGAUUGUAACGACCAACAUUCCAGCCUUGCGUUAUUAAUAACCAUCUCAUGAUACUCGAAGCAGAGCAUCAUAAACUACCAACACUCGACCGGCUACUAAGGAGAGGAGUGCAAACAGACGGCAAAUACUUGCUCUGUGAAACGGGAGACGAAAGUAUAAAUCAUGUAUUCUUCAAUUACCAAUAAAAGGGUUUAUAAAUUACAUUGCAUCCUACCUAAACCUCCCGACAGGCCUGCUCUCAGACUUGGUAUCAUUGGCACAGGUUUUAAAUCGGG
This 1238-nucleotide long non-coding RNA is filed under the name Zostera marina. Its description in RNAcentral is "long non-coding RNA (ZMAR_LNC005169)". Lineage: Eukaryota; Viridiplantae; Streptophyta; Magnoliopsida; Alismatales; Zosteraceae. The record is from RNAcentral.